Molecule: non-coding RNA, 74 nt
Organism: Podarcis lilfordi (Lilford's wall lizard)
Lineage: Eukaryota; Metazoa; Chordata; Lepidosauria; Squamata; Lacertidae
Source: the annotation of a GenBank genome assembly
ACCUAGGAUAACUCAAUUGGUAGAGCAUGAGACUCUUAAUCUCAGGGUUGUGGGUUCAAGCCCCAUGUUGGGCA